This 71-nucleotide transfer RNA is filed under the name Marmota monax (woodchuck). Its description in RNAcentral is "tRNA.Ala". It matches the Rfam family "tRNA". Rfam says of the family: Transfer RNA (tRNA) molecules are approximately 80 nucleotides in length. Their secondary structure includes four short double-helical elements and three loops (D, anti-codon, and T loops). Lineage: Eukaryota; Metazoa; Chordata; Mammalia; Rodentia; Sciuridae. The record is from RNAcentral.
GGGGUUGUGGCUCAGUGGUAGAGCAUUUGCCUAGCAUGCAUGAGGCACUGGGUUAGAUCCCCAGCACCACA